RNAcentral lists this ribosomal RNA (253 nucleotides) under uncultured bacterium. Its description in RNAcentral is "partial 16S ribosomal RNA". It matches the Rfam family "Bacterial small subunit ribosomal RNA", at positions 524 to 776 of the family's 1533-position model. The record is from RNAcentral.
UACGGGGGGAGCAAACGUUGUUCGGAAUCACUGGGCGUAAAGCGCACGUAGGCGGCUUGUUAAGUCAGGGGUGAAAUCCCGGGGCUCAACCCCGGAACUGCCUUUGAUACUGGUAGUCUCGAGUCCGGAAGAGGUGAGUGGAAUUCCGAGUGUAGAGGUGAAAUUCGUAGAUAUUCGGAGGAACACCAGUGGCGAAGGCGGCUCACUGGUCCGGUACUGACGCUGAGGUGCGAAAGCGUGGGGAGCAAACAGG